Molecule: ribosomal RNA, 527 nt
Filed under: uncultured bacterium
Lineage: Bacteria
Description: bacterial SSU rRNA
Rfam family: Bacterial small subunit ribosomal RNA
Source: RNAcentral
GAUCCUGGCUCAGGAUGAACGCUGGCGGCGUGCUUAACACAUGCAAGUCGAACGGGGUUUAGGAGCUUGCUCCUAGACCUAGUGGCGAACGGGUGAGUAACGCGUGAGUAACCUGCCCAUAUCAGGGGAAUAACACAGUGAAAACUGUGCUAAUACCGCAUAAGACCACAGAGAGGCAUCUCUCAGGGGUAAAAGAUUUAUCGGAUAUGGAUGGGCUCGCGUCCUAUUAGGUAGUUGGUGAGGUAACGGCUCACCAAGCCCGCGAUAGGUAGCCGACCUUAGAGGGUGAUCGGCCACAUUGGAACUGAGAAACGGUCCAGACUCCUACGGGAGGCAGCAGUGGGGAAUAUUGGGCAAUGGAGGCAACUCUGACCCAGCAACGCCGCGUGAAUGAUGAAGGUCUUCGGAUUGUAAAGUUCUGUGAUGGGGGAUGAACACAAUGACGGUACCCCAAUAGCAAGCCACGGCUAACUACGUGCCAGCAGCCGCGGUAAUACGUAGGUGGCAAGCGUUAUCCGGAAUGACUG